RNAcentral lists this ribosomal RNA (728 nucleotides) under Liolaemus koslowskyi. RNAcentral's name for it is "partial 12S ribosomal RNA". It matches the Rfam family "Bacterial small subunit ribosomal RNA", at positions 298 to 1368 of the family's 1533-position model. The record is from RNAcentral. Lineage: Eukaryota; Metazoa; Chordata; Lepidosauria; Squamata.
AAAUUACCAAGGAGCAGGUAUCAGGCACAACCUGUUAGCCCAAAACACCUUGCUACGCCACACCCACACGGGCACCCAGCAGUGAUAAAUAUUAAGCAAUGAGUAAAAACCAACUAAAGCUCGACUUAGUUAUGAUUAUUAGGGCCGGUAAACCUCGUGCCAGCCACCGCGGUUAUACGAGGGGCCCAAAACAACGGAAAUCGGCGUAAAUUGUGACUAGAGUAUCUACUUAUAUCAUUGGGAAAUAAACAAAAACUCAACCGUAAAACCCGAGUCAAAAGAAACAUAAUUUUCCAACUACAAAGAAACUUGAACCCACGAAGACUAAGAAACAAACUAGGAUUAGAUACCCUACUAUGCUUAGUUGUUAACAUGAUACCAAAAAACACCAGUAUCCGCCAGAAGAUUACACGCGAAAAGCUUAAAACUCAAAGGACUUGGCGGUGCUCCGUAUUCGCCUUAGAGGAGCCUGUCCUAUAAUCGAUAACCCACGUUUUACCUUACCAUCUUUUGUCAAUACAGCCUAUAUACCGCCGUCGCAAACUUACCCCAUGAGGGAACAACAGUAAGUAAAAUAGUAACACACUAACACGUCAGGUCAAGGUGUAGCUAAUAAGAUGGAAGAGAUGGGCUACAUUUUCUAAAACAGAACACACGGCAAAGAGCACUGAAAUAUGCUCUAAAAGGUGGAUUUAAUAGUAAGAUAGAAAAGAAAACCUAUCUAAAAC